This 253-nucleotide ribosomal RNA is filed under the name uncultured bacterium. RNAcentral describes it as "partial 16S ribosomal RNA". It matches the Rfam family "Bacterial small subunit ribosomal RNA", at positions 524 to 776 of the family's 1533-position model. The record is from RNAcentral.
UACAGAGGUGGCAAGCGUUGUUCGGAAUUACUGGGCGUAAAGCGUGCGUAGGCGGUUACAUAAGUCGGGUGUGAAAGCCCCGGGCUCAACCUGGGAAUUGCAUUCGAGACUGCGUAGCUAGGGUGCGGAAGAGGGAAGCGGAAUUUCCGGUGUAGCGGUGAAAUGCGUAGAUAUCGGAAGGAACACCAGUGGCGAAAGCGGCUUCCUGGUCCAGCACCGACGUUCAGGCACGAAAGCGUGGGGAGCAAACAGG